This 298-nucleotide unclassified non-coding RNA is filed under the name plant metagenome. RNAcentral's name for it is "partial contains 5.8S ribosomal RNA, internal transcribed spacer 2, and large subunit ribosomal RNA". The stretch from base 1 to 104 matches the Rfam family "5.8S ribosomal RNA", at positions 50 to 154 of the family's 154-position model. The record is from RNAcentral.
GAAAUGCGAUAAGUAAUGUGAAUUGCAGAAUUCAGUGAAUCAUCGAAUCUUUGAACGCACAUUGCGCCCCCUGGUAUUCCGGGGGCAUGCCUGUUUGAGCGUCAUUUCACCACUCAAGCCUCGCUUGGUAUUGGGCGACGCGGUCCGCCGCGCGCCUCAAAUCGACCGGCUGGGUCUUUCGUCCCCUCAGCGUUGUGGAAACUAUUCGCUAAAGGGUGCCGCGGGAGGCCACGCCGUAAAACAACCCCAUUUCUAAGGUUGACCUCGGAUCAGGUAGGGAUACCCGCUGAACUUAAGC